This 91-nucleotide transfer RNA is filed under the name Yarrowia lipolytica. RNAcentral's name for it is "tRNA-Arg". It matches the Rfam family "tRNA". Rfam says of the family: Transfer RNA (tRNA) molecules are approximately 80 nucleotides in length. Their secondary structure includes four short double-helical elements and three loops (D, anti-codon, and T loops). Lineage: Eukaryota; Fungi; Ascomycota; Dipodascomycetes; Dipodascales. The record is from RNAcentral.
AGGGACGUGGCGUAAAUGGUAGCGCAUUGGAUUUCGGUUCUUUCUGAACGACGUCCUCCAAAGGCUGCGGGUUCGAGUCCUGUCGUCCUCU